Molecule: long non-coding RNA, 546 nt
Organism: Adelges cooleyi (spruce gall adelgid)
Lineage: Eukaryota; Metazoa; Arthropoda; Insecta; Hemiptera; Adelgidae
Exons: 3
Source: RefSeq, a predicted model, not a curated record
GGUACAAUAUCUGAUCUAAUAUCUUUUACUACAUAAAUAUGUCAAUCUAUUGCCUAAAAAUGCAUUGUAGGUUCAGAAAACUUAAAUUUAGAUGAACUUGGAAAAACGAGAAGAGAUUAUACUAGAAGAGCUGUAGAAAAUAUAAUUAGAAGUGGAUUGAAGUACCGUGCUGAUGGACAAGAAAGAAGACUCAAAUUAAAUCACGUUUGUCGUGUGAUAGCAUUGUACAAAAAUACAACUAAUUCAUCAGGACAUAUAAAAUCAGCCGAAGUUGUUUCUGUUCAUUGCCAACUAACUUCUACAAACCAGAACAGUACUACCUACUACAGACAGUUUGGAAACGAAAUAUUUCAAGUAUGGUUACAUAGUGAACAAAGGGAACCGCUUUUGAGUAAUAAUGGUAGUUUAGAUCAAGAACCUAGGGCUGAUGAUAAGAACAAAAAAUCAGUGCCAAAAUGCCGUUGCGGUAUACUAUGAGACCAUGUCAACCGAUGUAUAUAUAUAAAUUUCAUAAUAAAAUUAAAUUAUCCGGGUGUUUCAACAAAU